CAGGCUGUGUUUUGGUUCAUUUUUCCCACACCCACUGGAUUUGUUCAGGAGGGCCCAGACAAUGUCCCUGGGAUUGCUCAGCUCUGACAGCCAAACAGGCCAGAAGUUGAAGCCGUCUCAUUGUCCAGGGGGUGGGACUCUCAAAAUAGGCUUUGGCAGCAUCUUUUGGCUUGAAAACACUUUGUCAGCUUCUUGCCACAGCAGUUAGUGUGAGCGUUUAGCUACAGGACAUGUUUUCUCUGCUGGUGAAGCUGGAUUAAGGAAUCCUCUACCUCCAGAUGCUUGUUGCUCCCUUUUUAUUAGUGCUGAAUGUGGCGUUGGGGGGGUGUAAAGGAUCGGAGGAAAGAUCCAUGUUUAAAAUAAACUGCCAGAAUACCUCUGAAAGGGUAAUGUGUGGCAAGAAGAUGGAGACGUUGGUGUGGUGGGUUGAAGACACAAAAUGUUGCCUUAAGAACACAUAUUGUACAGCUAGACCAUAAAGAAACAACAUGAAUGAGCUGAGACCUGGGAGGCUGGAACUGAGUGGGACUGGUUCAGAGUCCCCAGUCGGACAAACGCAGUUGGGGGUGAGGAUGAUCCCAAGGGUCUCUUGCAACUGAAAUGAUUCUAUGAGCUGGAGCUGCUCUCCUCCUGCUCCUUCAGUCCUUUUAAGCGAUCCUGCAUUCGUGCACUUACUGGUGUUCAUUUGGGAGCCAAGUCAAAGUGUCUCUCUGCAAUUAAAUGCAAGUAUUACUGCGAUCCCACUCACUAUGUUCCCACAACUUCUCAUUUUUGUAGCGGCUUUUAAACGUCUCAACAGCCAGAGGCAGGAUAAUUGCUUUGGCCAACUGUGUUCUGUUGCUAUAGAGACUGAAAAUGAGCAAAAUGUAGGGUUGGGGUGUAUUUAAAUUUUCUUGCUGUAAGUAGUAGCUGCCGAAAGCACUAUUUUUUUUUUUAAGAGGAAAGGAGCGGUGGAAAGGGAGAGGGAUGGAGAAGAGCAGUAAGCCAACUUCUCGCCCACAGUUUUACAGCUGACAUGGAAGGGGAUUUUAGGUUUGCAAACAGUCUGAAAGCCCAUAGCCGUGUGCCAGCUGCCUGGUAGCACAGAGGAAGCGAGCUGAGGGGUCUCGGUUCGGCUCAGGGGUCUCUGAUGUUCGGUUCCUCCUGUCGGCAGGGACCCCCAGGAGGGCAUGAGCCAAAGGACACCAGCUUUGAGGUGACUUCACCGCCUUUCUCGUUGAAGCUGCUCUCUGAGUUGUGCCUCCGCUCUGGAGGCCGAGCUGAAGAGAUCAGCUGUUUGUCUCGUGUGUGUGUGGUGUGCUGCCUGCCUCUAAGGCCCCUAUAGAAGAUAACCGACUUCAUCACCACCUGAGCUGCCUUCAAGCCAUGAUGCCGACGUCCCCCCCACCGCACAGAGAAAAAAAUGGGCGGCCUUUUAAAACCGUCUAAUGAUUUUAACGUGUUGCUUUUCCUAAAGUAAAUGUGCUACCCACGCUGAAGUUCCAUCAAA
Molecule: long non-coding RNA, 1489 nt
Organism: Columba livia (rock pigeon)
Lineage: Eukaryota; Metazoa; Chordata; Aves; Columbiformes; Columbidae
Exons: 2
Source: RefSeq, a predicted model, not a curated record